GACGAACGCUGGCGGCGUGCUUAACACAUGCGAGUCGAGCGGUAAGGCCCUUUCGGGGGUACACGAGCGGCGAACGGGUGAGUAACACGUGGGUGACCUGCCUCUAGCUCUGGGAUAAGCCUGGGAAGCUGGGUCUAAUACCGGAUAUGACCUCGCGGUGCAUGUUGCGGGGUGGAAAGCCUUGUGCGGCUAGGGAUGGGCCCGCGGCCUAUCAGCUUGUUGGUGGGGUGANGGCCUACCAAGGCGACGACGGGUAGCCGGCCUGAGAGGGCGACCGGCCACACUGGGACUGAGACACGGCCCAGACUCCUACGGGAGGCAGCAGUGGGGAAUCUUGCGCAAUGGGCGAAAGCCUGACGCAGCGACGCCGCGUGAGGGAUGACGGCCU
Molecule: ribosomal RNA, 388 nt
Filed under: uncultured bacterium
Lineage: Bacteria
Description: bacterial SSU rRNA
Rfam family: Bacterial small subunit ribosomal RNA
Source: RNAcentral